UAUUGGAAACGAUAGCUAAUACCGCAUAACAAUGGAUGACACAUGUCAUUUAUUUGAAAGGGGCAAUUGCUCCACUACAAGAUGGACCUGCGUUGUAUUAGCUAGUAGGUGAGGUAAUGGCUCACCUAGGCGACGAUACAUAGCCGACCUGAGAGGGUGAUCGGCCACACUGGGACUGAGACACGGCCCAGACUCCUACGGGAGGCAGCAGUAGGGAAUCUUCGGCAAUGGGGGCAACCCUGACCGAGCAACGCCGCGUGAGUGAAGAAGGUUUUCGGAUCGUAAAGCUCUGUUGUAAGUCAAGAACGGGUGUGAGAGUGGAAAGUUCACACUGUGACGGUAGCUUACCAGAAAGGGACGGCUAACUACGUGCCAGCAGCCGCGGUAAUACGUAGGUCCCGAGCGUUGUCCGGAUUUAUUGGGCGUAAAGCGAGCGCAGGCGGUUUGAUAAGUCUGAAGUUAAAGGCUGUGGCUCAACCAUAGUUCGCUUUGGAAACUGUCAAACUUGAGUGCAGAAGGGGAGAGUGGAAUUCCAUGUGUAGCGGUGAAAUGCGUAGAUAUAUGGAGGAACACCGGUGGCGAAAGCGGCUCUCUGGUCUGUAACUGACGCUGAGGCUCGAAAGCGUGGGGAGCGAACAGGAUUAGAUACCCUGGUAGUCCACGCCGUAAACGAUGAGUGCUAGGUGUUGGAUCCUUUCCGGGAUUCAGUGCCGCAGCUAACGCAUUAAGCACUCCGCCUGGGGAGUACGACCGCAAGGUUGAAACUCAAAGGAAUUGACGGGGGCCCGCACAAGCGGUGGAGCAUGUGGUUUAAUUCGAAGCAACGCGAAGA
This 832-nucleotide ribosomal RNA is filed under the name Streptococcus thermophilus. RNAcentral's name for it is "bacterial SSU rRNA". It matches the Rfam family "Bacterial small subunit ribosomal RNA", at positions 148 to 967 of the family's 1533-position model. Lineage: Bacteria; Bacillati; Bacillota; Bacilli; Lactobacillales; Streptococcaceae. The record is from RNAcentral.